Pan paniscus (pygmy chimpanzee) is the source of this 138-nucleotide small nuclear RNA. Its record names the gene U4. It matches the Rfam family "U4 spliceosomal RNA". From Rfam's summary of the family: U4 small nuclear RNA (U4 snRNA) is a component of the major U2-dependent spliceosome. The structure of U4 snRNA from yeast and human has been reported. The record is from Ensembl. Lineage: Eukaryota; Metazoa; Chordata; Mammalia; Primates; Hominidae.
AACUUUGCACAGGGCAGUGUCACAACUAAUGAGGUUUAUCCAAAGUGCAAUUAUUGCUAAUUAAAAAUUUUUCCAAUGCCCCACCAUGACAGCUUAAAACAUACUCAGCAUUGACAAAUUUUUCUCAUUUGGAGAAAU